RNAcentral lists this ribosomal RNA (425 nucleotides) under Triticum aestivum (bread wheat). Its description in RNAcentral is "partial small subunit ribosomal RNA". Lineage: Eukaryota; Viridiplantae; Streptophyta; Magnoliopsida; Poales; Poaceae. The record is from RNAcentral.
UCGUAAAGUUGUCUCGAGUAGGAUUCCAACGCACAAACUUCCUCAAACUAAUCUGUCGAGUUCCCCGAGACCUCAAUUGCGGCUGAGACGUUUUAUACUCCUUAAAGAGAAAACUGAACUAGACCAUCAUACCUGUCAUGUAAAGGGGAUCUUUGACAUCCGACUUGAAAUUACAAGGGAGCCACAAGUAGUCACCCACUAGGUAGGUAAGGUCAACCACAAGGAUAUGUUUGUGAUGACAAAAAGAUACUAACGAGUUUGUAUUUACGGGCGGUUCCUCACGAAGGGGCAGGACAUUGAACAGGAUAAUCCUGUAAUGUAAUACACGUACGGGUACUAAUAUCACGAGUACUAGACAUUAGAUAUUCUACAAGACCUAUAGAGCGUAUGUCUGACUUUACUCACUUGUUUGGGUGAUUGCACAG